UCCCUCAUUUUGCAGGUGAGGCACCUGAGUCUCAGAGAGGGGAAGUGACUUGCUCAAGGUCACACAACCAGGAGGUAGAAGAAGCAGGACUCCAGCCCCAGGACUUGUGACUGUGAAGUGAAGAGUUCUUGAUACUGAAGCAUACCACCUCGAGCUCUAGGAGCCAAGCCCAGGCCCUCCUUGUUCUCUGAGUGGUCUCUCUUCGGCCUUCGAGGGGCCUACCUGCAGCCCAGGGCUCUGGCCUGCCAUCUUUCUCUCUUUCCACUGGAGAAGGCACUGAAGUGUUUGGGACCAAAUGAGAAAACUGAGGCAUCCCUGAAUCUUGUGAUUGUGAGGUACCACAAUCAUUCUCGAGAUAGAUGCAUGAGCUGCUCCUCUGGGCUUAUGGAAAAAAAAAAAAAAAGCAGAACUGAUUGGUGUGUAGCCCUUCCUGGAGGCAGGGAGAUGGACAAAAUGGCCUCUCAAGUGAAGGUCGGCCCAACUCCAAGUCAGCCCCCAUUUGUUUGGCUCCUCCUGCUUGUUGGAGGGGAACGGGAAGGGAUCUGUGUCCUCCAGGAGGUCUGUCAGCUGGCAUCGGGACAACAUCUGGUUCCUUCCUCAGGAGGGUCUCCACACAAGACCAACAGAAAUAUCACCGUCAGAGGGAGCUGUCAGGCACACCAUGUUUGAGAUGUGAAAGCACCUGGGUGAUGAAUUGGGGCUGGGAGGUGGGGAAAUCGAAGCAAGACAAAUGGGAUGGAGUUUCAUAAGCCAAUUCUUCCCAUGUAGGUAUUAACUUAGAAGAAUCAGUACCAGCCAUACCCUGAUGCCAGCUAUUGUCGAAUAAACGUAUUGGUUCUACAGUUCCGAAAACCA
Molecule: long non-coding RNA, 855 nt
Organism: Vombatus ursinus (common wombat)
Lineage: Eukaryota; Metazoa; Chordata; Mammalia; Diprotodontia; Vombatidae
Source: Ensembl